RNAcentral lists this transfer RNA (72 nucleotides) under chicken gut metagenome. It matches the Rfam family "tRNA". From Rfam's summary of the family: Transfer RNA (tRNA) molecules are approximately 80 nucleotides in length. The record is from RNAcentral.
GAGACUUAGCUCAGUUGGUCAGAGCACUUGCCUUACAAGCAAGGGGUCAACGGUUCAAGUCCGCUAGUCUCC